AGCUUCCAUCCGGGCUGUAACCAAUCCUCGCUCGUCCGCCUCUUCUAUUGGCUGCUUUUCUAUCUUCCUCUCUUCUCUCCUUCCUCUCAUCCUGAUUUCCCUCUUCUAUUUUCUAUCUUCUUUAUUUUUGGCCUAUUUUCUUCCCUAUUUUCUUCUUUUUCUUCCCUAUUUUCUAUCUUCUUUUUUGCCUAUUUUCUUCUCAUUUUUUCCCUGUUUUCUUCUUUUUUUUCCCUAUUUUCCUCUUUUUUCCCAAUUUUCUUCUUUUUAAUUUGCUUUUUUUUUGGCUUAUUUUCUUUUUUCUUUUUCUUUUUGCUUAUUUUCUUUUUUCUUUUUUUUUGCUUAUUUUCUUUUUUCUUUUUUUUUUUGCUUAUUUUCUUUUUUCUUUUUUUUGCUUAUUUUCUUUUUUUUGCUUUUUUUUUUCCUUUUUUGGCUUAUUUUCUUUUUUUGCUUUUUUUUUUUUUCCUUUUUUUGCUGUUUUUUUUCUUUUGGCUUAUUUUUUCUUUUUUCUUUGCUUAUUUUUUUUCUUUUUUUUUUUUGCCUAUUUUCUUCUUUUUUCCCUAUUUUCUUCCUUAUUUUCCCCCUAUUUUCUUCUUCUUUUUUUUGCCUAUUUUCUUAUUUUUGCCUAUUUUCUUGCUUAUUUUUCCCCUAUUUUCUUCUUUUUUUCCUAUUUCCUCUUCUUUUUUUCUAUUAUUCCCUAUUUUUUCCUCUUCUUUUUUUCCAUUAAUCUCCAAUUUUCCUUUUUUCUUUCCAUCGUUUCCUCCUCUCUUUCAUUGUUUUUUGGCCAUUAUUUCCUCUUUUGCUCCCGUUUCCAUUUUGAACCAAAAAGUCCUUUUUUCUCCUCUAAAUCCUCCCUGCCUCGUCGCCGCCUCCGCUCUUCCCGGCUCUGAAAUGCCAAAUUCUCCUAAAACGCCCCCAAAACAGCUCCAACGGGGACCAAAACGCCUUUUCUCCUCCUCCUCUUGCCACGUUUUGGGUUAAGAAUGCAGCUUUUUUGGCUGUGUUGCCAUGGGGGGGCCGGGCUUGGGGCCACGUCGGCGUGAAGCCGUCGCUCACCUCGCUCUGCACCUCCUUCCAUUUCCGCACUGCCACCCAGUUUUGUUUCCUCCAUCUUGCUCACUUCUCCC
This 1124-nucleotide long non-coding RNA is filed under the name Coturnix japonica (Japanese quail). Its description in RNAcentral is "lncRNA (ENSCJPG00005001877.1)". The record is from RNAcentral. Lineage: Eukaryota; Metazoa; Chordata; Aves; Galliformes; Phasianidae.